AAAGUUUCAAAACCAGAAGAGCUUUGACUUAAUAAAACUUUAAUAAUGCUGAUGUACAGGAAUAUGAAUUAUAAUGAAAUAAAUUUAUUUAUUAAAGUUGUAGCAAUACAAUAGUUACUUCGUAAUCAUCUACACCACUUUAAUAAAAUAAGGAUAUACAGAAUAUUCUGUAGUUAAUUGAUAUAAACAUUAAAUGUCAAAAGCUCAGGUAAUAAAUAUAAAAUGUGAAAAUAUAAGGAUAUAUUAGUAAAUAUUUUACAGUAGAAUUUAGAAGGACCCGAUCCUCCAUCUCAUUGCCCUCCACUGUUAUAUGUCAAAAUUAAAAAUUCAAACAAAGUUCUUCGGCCAGCAUGGGUGGCGACUCAGUUUUCCAGUUACGGUUGCGUAGAUGUUAUGUCCAUUUCGCGGAAUUCAGCAUUAGUCGCGGUGGGAAAUAUUUGGUGUGCCAAGGAUAUCUUAACAGCUUUCCAUAGCCAUCCAGAUAUUUUAGUCACUUGCUACAAUGUCUUUUUACAUUCAAAAUCUACAAGGAUGCUUCUUUGGUGUGCAUGUUUCCUUUCAGGGUCUUUAGGAUUGAUUCUUCUUGCAAAAAUGUGGAAAAUGGCUAGAUGAAAAAGCAUUAAUGUUUUUAGCUUUAUAAACAACAAUUAUAGGAAAAAAUGUGAAUAAAUUAAAUAAAAAAGAAGUUAGGUAAAUUAUCCGGCAAAUAAAGAUAAACCUGUCUUGUUUAUUUAGAAUCCAAACAGUUUGCCAAAACAAUGACACAUUGUACAGAACACAUUAAAACUUUGAUUUACUAAGCUGCCAAGCAAUGUGACAAUAGUAAUUUUCUUUUUUUUCCCCCUCCUCCUGUUUAGCUUGUUUGUCUUUUAUCAUUCUUUAACGAGUUUACAUGACAAUUGUCUCUUUUAUCAACAGCGCACAUUGUUUUAAGUUACAUGCGUUAACAGUCUUGUUUAUGUCAAAACAAAUUACCCUCUUUAAAUGCCUCUGUAAAACCAUGAAAAGGUGUAAAAUAAACUUAGAAAAUUUCCGUUUUAUAAUAAAAAAUCAUCCGUAUUUUUCUAAAUAAACUUUUUUUUUUAAA
This is a long non-coding RNA of Centruroides sculpturatus (bark scorpion), 1087 nucleotides long. RefSeq lists it as uncharacterized. The record is from RefSeq and is a predicted model, not a curated record. The transcript is spliced from 5 exons. NCBI's taxonomy places the organism in Eukaryota, Metazoa, Arthropoda, Arachnida, Scorpiones, Buthidae.